Long non-coding RNA from Cavia porcellus (domestic guinea pig), 350 nucleotides. RefSeq lists it as uncharacterized. The record is from RefSeq and is a predicted model, not a curated record. The transcript is spliced from 4 exons. NCBI's taxonomy places the organism in Eukaryota, Metazoa, Chordata, Mammalia, Rodentia, Caviidae.
UAAAAUGCUUAUGUCGAGGUCCUGAUUCCCACACGCUGGUGCUGUAUUUGAGUGUGAGGGGCCCCUGGAAGCUCAUCUGUUGGAGGAUUGGUCCCCAGCCUCUGGAGAUUUGGGAGAUGCUGGGAUCUGUGGGAGCCUGGACACUGAGGCACCCCCAAUAACACACUGAAGACACUCAGGAGAGAGUACUUCAAAAACAACUUCAGACUGGCAGCAGGUGUGAUAGGCUAUCUCAGCCCCUCCUUCUCCUGUGUCCUCAGACUCCCAGUGGCUGCCCAGAACUGCAGCUGUGUUGCCCCUGUGCCCUGCCACCCUGCUUUGGAGCCUGCUGAUUAUGGAUUGAAACCUCC